This is a long non-coding RNA of Ceratina calcarata, 4298 nucleotides long. RefSeq lists it as uncharacterized. The transcript has 17 exons. The record is from RefSeq and is a predicted model, not a curated record. NCBI's taxonomy places the organism in Eukaryota, Metazoa, Arthropoda, Insecta, Hymenoptera, Apidae.
AACACGAUAGAAAGUAAAAACUGAGAAGCCAUAAAAACGAGGAGGAUUAAAACUCGUAAAAAGAAGAGAAGGGAAAAUUACACAGCUGCAAAAGACAGACACGAAAACACGAGAGAGAUCCGGCUAAAACAUUGGCGUAACCAUCACCCCUAGGAAACGGAACAGCGAAAUAGAACAGAGGAAGACUCUCAAAAAACAAACAGAAAAGAUAAGGAAGCGAGGGAAUAAAACAAUGAAAAAUAACAAAAGCUGACCCCCGUUGAUGUAACAAACUGUAGAAAUCAAAAGCCAUACAAAGAAACAAAACGGAUAAAUAAAACAAGGAAAAGAGAGGUAAACAAAAACAAGAAUAUGAAAAUGAACUAAAACUGGAUACACGAAAAGAAUAAAUUACAGAAUCCUUCAAAUAAACCACAGACGCAAGGGAGUACAGAAAAUCGCACAAAAAGAACAUGCAAAUGACCGGCACGAAAACCCAAGGAUGACACGAUCAAAGCAUUAGCAUAACCACCACCCCAAGGCAAUAAAAACGAACAAACACCGAAAAGAUUCUUUGUCACUCUAAUAAAUGACACACAACCCUAACAAAUUGGUAAAGAAAGGUCACCAAAUACAAUAAUAAAGAAAAAUAAUAAAAGCUAACAAAAACCACCAAAAAGAUGAAUACAACUAACGACAAAAGGAUACGCCAUAGAAACAAUUAAACCGAACUAUAUAAAUAUAAAAACAAUCUAACUAACCAAAAUAUAUAAAAACAUAACGGACUAACGAAAACAAGGAAAAGAGAGAGACACCAUAAAGACAAUGGGGAUUGAAACACACAAAAAGGAGAAAGGAAUCGUGCACAGCUGCAAGACAGACAAGAAAACAUGAGAGAGACACUGACAGAGCAUUGGCGCGGCCACUAUCCCCAGGAAAUAACACAAUAAAACAGAACAGGGCAAACUCGUAAAAAACAAAUGAAGGAGAGAAACUAACGGAAGAACAAGAUAAGGAAAAAUAAUAGAAAUCGACCCCGUCGAUGUAAAAAAUAGGACAUACUAUGGAACCAACCGAACUGAUUUCCAACAACCUAUGAACAAUUUAACUAGCCAAAAACAUAUAGGCAAACAUAACGAAUUAACAGAACAAGGAAAAGAGAGAAAAACCGUAAAAACGAUAAGGGUUAAAACACAUAAAAAAGGGAAAAGGAACUGUACACAGCUGAAAAACGGACACGAAAAUAUGAAAACGACCUGGCCAAGCAUUGGCGCAGCCACCACCCCCAGGCAAUAGAACAAAUAAAUGCUGAAAACAUUAACGAACGAUCAAUCACUGACUAAUACCACAAUUCCACUCUAGGAAAUAACAUAAUAAAACAGAACAAGGCAAACUCGUAAUAACAAAUAAAGGAAAGUAAAUAACGAAGGAACAAGAUAAGAAAAUAACAGAAAUCGACCCCGUCGAUGUAAAAAUUAGGACAUGCUACGGUACCAAUCAAACUGUAUUCCAACAACCUAUGAAUAAUCUAAUUAGCUGAAAAACAUUUGGGCAAACAUAACGAAUUAACAGAACAAGGAAAAAGAGAGAAACCGUAAAAAAGAUGAGGGCUAAAACACAUAAAAAAGGGAAAAGAAACUGUACACAGCUGCAAAGCAGACAUGAAAAUAUGAAAAUGACCUGGUCAAGCAUUGGCGCAGCCAUCACCUCCAGGAAAUAACAUAACAAAAUAGAACAGGGUAAACUCGUAAAAAACAAAUAAAGGAGAGAAAGUAACGGGGGAACAAGAUAAGGAAAAAUAACAGAAAUCGACCCCGUCGAUGCAAAAAAUAGGACAGGCUACGGAACCAAUCAAACUGAAUUCCAACAACCUAUGAAUAAUCUAAUUAGCUGAAAAACAUUUAGGCAAACAUAACGAAUUAACAGAACAAGGAAAAAGAGGGAAACCGUAAAAACGAUGAGGGUUAAAACGCAUAAAAAAGGGAAAAAGGAACUAUACACAGCCGCAAAGCAGACACGAAAAUAUGAAAGGGGCCUGGUCAAGCAUUGGCGCAGCCACCACACCCAGGAAACAACAAAAUAAAACAGAACAGGGUAAACCCGUAAUAACAAAUAAAGGAAAGUAAAUAACAAAGGAACAGGAUAAGGAAAAUAACAGAAACCGAUCCCAUCAAUGUAAAAAUAGGACAUGAUAUAGAACCAAUCGAACUGAAUUCCAACAACCUAUGAAUAAUCUAAUUAACUGGAAAACAUUUAGGCGAACAUAAAGAUUUAACAGAACAAAGAAAAAGAGAGAAACCGUAAAAAAGAUGAGGGCUAAAACACAUAAAAAGGUAAAAGAAACUGUACACAGCUGCAAAACAGACACGAAAAUACGAAAAUGACCUGGUCAAGCACUGGCGCAGCCAUCACCUCCAGGAAAUAACAUAAUAAAACAGAACAAGAUAAACUCGUAAAAAAAAAAACAAAUAAAGGAGAGAAAGUAACGGGGGAACAAGAUAAGGAAAAAUAACAGAAAUCGACCCCGUCGAUGUAAAAAUAGGACAUGCUAUGGAAUCAAUCGAACUGAAUCCCAACAACCUAUGAGUAAUCUAACUAACCGAAAAAUAUAUAGACAAACAUAACGGAUUAAUAGAGCGAGGAAAAGAGAGAGAAACCGUAAAAACGAUGAGGGUUAAAACACAUGAAAAAGGGAAAAGGAACUGUACACAGCUGCAAAACAGACACGAAAAUAUGAAAACGACCUGGUCAAGCAUAGGCGCAACCACCACUCCCAGGAAAUAACACAAUAAAACUCAACAGAACAAAACUCUUAAAAAACAAGCAAAAAGAAAUAAGGGAAUGAAAGAAGAAAAUAAUGAAGAUAACAAAAACCGACCUCGCCAAGGUAAAAAAAAUAUUAGGACACGAUGUGGAAACAAUUAAGCAGAAUCCCAACAAUCCAAGAACGAUCUGAAAUAACAGGAAAACACAGGAAAACACAACGGAUUAACAAAGCGAGAAAAAGAGAGAAAAACCAUAAAAAGCCAGGGGCUGAAACACACAGAAAAGGGGAAAGAAAUCGUACACAGCUGCGAAACAAACACGAAAACAAAAGAAUGACCCGACCAAAGCAAUGGCGCAGCCACCACCCCCCAGGAGACAAUACAACAAUAUAGAACGGAAAAGGACUCCUAAAAAACAAACAGAGGAAAACAAAAACGAAGGAACAAAAAUAAUAUAAAAAUAACGGAAACUAACACUGUCAACAUAACAAAAAUCCAAAAACCGAAAAAUGCAAAGGAACAAAAAGAAAAAGAACAAAUAAAAAGACGAGAGAGGAAACCGUAGAAACAAUGCAGAAUGGAAACCCAGACAAAGGGGGGAAGAAAACAUACACAAGCACAAAACGGACACAAAAAUACAAGGACUAUCUGACCAGAGCAAUGGCGUAAGCACUGCCCCCAAGAAACGUAGAAUAAAAACAAGAACAAUCGCUGUUAUUGUCAAAUCAACGAACGACAACAGAAUCUCGUCACACGCAAAGAAAAUCCUGAAACAAAAAUUUAUAAACAAACCGAAAGAACACAAAAGGAAACAGAACGGCCAAAAACAGACUGGAAAAAGUGAGAAACGGAAAAACAAAAAGUUUCCCCACCCUACAACACCGAAAGUAGGAAAGGAAAACGAGGAAGGGGUAGGAAAACGUGCAAACAGAAAGAGACAAAGCAAGAAAGACAGAGGGGAAAAAUCCAGGGAACCAAUGACGAAAGAACCCCGCACCCCAAACCGAGUAUGCAUGGAAAAAGUGGGAAAAAAGGAGGAGGCCGAGGCCAGCGAGAGACUAUAAAAAGAACGGUACGGGAAGACAAAAUAACAGUCGUGAGCGACCAAACCCAAACUCUAGUACAUAGUAUAGAAACCGUCUCUGAAAUUGUGAUCUUCAACUAGAUACAAGAUGAACCGAACAAACACAAGAGGAACAUUCACGUCCACCCACCAAGUGGCAGUGGUACCAAAGGGAUUCCCGAACAGGAUACUAACAUUCACAGAGGCAGAAGAAUUUGGAGACGCGCUGAAUCUAUGCGUAAUGGAAUACAUAGAAGCUAGAAAAAGGAAAUCGUUGGAAUUUGUGCGACCAGAGUUUCCGACAUUUUUCCGCAAAAACGGCGGAAUACUACUAACUUGCAACACAGAAGUGACCGUUAAGUGGAUCAAAGUAGCUAUCAAGUUCAUAAAACUAAAAAGUGGCUGCGAACUAACGAUCGAAGACAAGACAGCACUGGACAACAGAUUUUCGGUAGAGGGGAGGGGCACGCACUCCCGAUUUACGGGAGCAA